GUACACGCUGUGACUAGCAUAUCAAUAAGCGGAGGAAAAGAAACUAACAAGGAUUCCCCUAGUAACGGCGAGUGAAGCGGGAAGAGCUCAAAUUUGAAAUCUUAAAGGGUUUCCCUUUACGAAUUGUAGUUUAAAGAAGUGUUUUCUGUUGAGGUUUUGGUAAAGUUCUUUGGAAUAGGACAUCAUAGAGGGUGAGAAUCCCGUAUUUGACCUUUACUUUCAACUUUGUGAUACACUUUCAAAGAGUCGGAUUGUUUGGGAAUGCAGUCCAAAAUGGGUGGUAAAUUUCAUCUAAAGCUAAAUAUUGGCGAGAGACCGAUAGCGAACAAGUACCGUGAGGGAAAGAUGAAAAGAACUUUGAAAAGAGAGUUAAACAGUACGUGAAAUUGUCAAAAGGGAAGCGUUUGACACCAGUGUUGUUUCUCUGAAAAUCAAUUAAAGAACUGUUUAUGCUAAGCUGUUUAGACUUUAUCAGCUAUCUGUUUAGUUUUAGGCUUUUCUUUAAUGCACUUUUCAGUUAACAAGUCAACAUCAAUUUCUUUUGCUGUAAAAAAGCUUGAGGAAGGUGGCUUGAGAUUCGUCUUAAGUGUUUAUAGCCUCUUGCCUAUGCAGUCGGAGAGAUUGAGGUCUGCAGCGUAGAUCCUUCGGGGCUAAAUGCAUUUGUGCUAAGUUAUAGCAUUUUAUAGACAACUUGUUGACUAUGACUUGUCUUGUAGCUUACUCGCUUAUGUUAUUUUACCUACGCUUAGGAUGUUGAUAUGCAUGACUGAUAU
RNAcentral lists this ribosomal RNA (773 nucleotides) under uncultured Neocallimastigales. Its description in RNAcentral is "partial large subunit ribosomal RNA". It matches the Rfam family "Eukaryotic large subunit ribosomal RNA", at positions 22 to 640 of the family's 3401-position model. The record is from RNAcentral. Lineage: Eukaryota; Fungi; Neocallimastigomycota; Neocallimastigomycetes; Neocallimastigales.